GCUGGGCACGGUGGCACAUGCCUGUAAUCCUGGCAAUUUGGGAGGCUGAGACAGGAGGACUGCAAGUUGGAGGCCAGACUCGGCAAUUUAUCAAGGCCCCAAGCAACUUAGCGAGACCCUGUCUCAA
This 127-nucleotide small RNA is filed under the name Marmota monax (woodchuck). Lineage: Eukaryota; Metazoa; Chordata; Mammalia; Rodentia; Sciuridae. The record is from RNAcentral.